This 191-nucleotide unclassified non-coding RNA is filed under the name uncultured Trechisporales. RNAcentral describes it as "sequence contains ITS1". The record is from RNAcentral. Lineage: Eukaryota; Fungi; Basidiomycota; Agaricomycetes; Trechisporales.
ACGUAUCUCUGACGGCGAGGGUGCGCCCAGCUCCGUACCGAAAGGACGUGCAGCGGGCGAGCCCGAGCCGCUCAACCUUUGCAAACCCACCGUGCACUUUUGUCGGCAGAGGGCCCCAGUGGUCCCGAGCCGGAUCACAAACUCCAAGUUUGAUUCGAAUGUGAAGCGGACGAGUGCCGCCUAAACUUUUA